ACAGAUCCAAGAGGAAGGGCCACAGAGCAGCUGCCAGCCAGAAGGAGGCCCACACAGAGCUGGAGGACGAGAGAGAUCUGCUCGAGAGGCUGAAACAGAUAAAACAGCUGAAGGAAGAUUUGGAGAAUCAAAAUGGAAACACGUUGCAGAAACAGGUUGAUGCUCUGAAGGAGAUCUCUAGAGACGAAUGACUAAAGCUGAGAGGAGCUGAAGAAAGAGUUUCAGACUCAUGUCCAGUUAAAGAAAGAUAUAGGAAUUCAAAAAAGGUGCCAUGAAGCCAUCAAGAACCUCCGCUGCC
Molecule: long non-coding RNA, 298 nt
Organism: Austrofundulus limnaeus
Lineage: Eukaryota; Metazoa; Chordata; Actinopteri; Cyprinodontiformes; Rivulidae
Exons: 3
Source: RefSeq, a predicted model, not a curated record